This 301-nucleotide ribosomal RNA is filed under the name uncultured bacterium. RNAcentral's name for it is "partial 16S ribosomal RNA". It matches the Rfam family "Bacterial small subunit ribosomal RNA", at positions 509 to 809 of the family's 1533-position model. The record is from RNAcentral.
CAGUAGCCACGGUAAUACGGAGGGAGCUAGCGUUGUUCGGAGUUACUGGGCGUAAAGCGCACGUAGGCGGCUUUGUAAGUUAGAGGUGAAAGCCCGGGGCUCAACUCCGGAACUGCCUUUAAGGCUGCAUCGCUUGAAUCAUGGAGAGGCGGGUGGAAUUCCGAGUGUAGAGGUGAAAUUCGUAGAUAUUCGGAAGAACACCAGUGGCGAAGGCGGCCCGCUGGACAUGUAUUGACGCUGAGGUGCGAAAGCGUGGGGAGCAAACAGGAUUAGAUACCCCCGUAGUCCCUGUCUCUUAUAA